AAUUACAUGGAGGCAUGUAGGCAGUGGCCUCCUAUUGCAGGCUGACAAAAAUUAAGAAAAUGAAGGAAAAAAAAUGGUUUACAUCAUGAUUUAUUUUAAAAGUACUGGUUGUUAUAGUUUAACCAACAAGGUGAUUAAUCAUGAUGGCAGGGUGUGUUCGAUAUUUAGAACUGGUAAAUAUCGCUAAACGGUACUCAACUCCUCUGCACACGUAGUUCUACCCAAAUAUAAAACAAAUACUAUUGCUUAUGUUAGCCUUGUCAGUUGUGUCUUGCAGUUAUAAGAAAUCGUUUUCAGCGCUACGGCGCCUUUAAACAUGGAAUAGG
RNAcentral lists this long non-coding RNA (326 nucleotides) under Mytilus galloprovincialis (Mediterranean mussel). The record is from RNAcentral. Lineage: Eukaryota; Metazoa; Mollusca; Bivalvia; Mytilida; Mytilidae.